Molecule: ribosomal RNA, 403 nt
Filed under: uncultured bacterium
Lineage: Bacteria
Description: partial 16S ribosomal RNA
Rfam family: Bacterial small subunit ribosomal RNA
Source: RNAcentral
GACGAACGCUGGCGGCGUGCCUAAUACAUGCAAGUCGAACGCAGUGGGGACGGGUGAGUAACAAGUGGGUAACCUCCCAUCAGAGGGGAUAACACUUGGAAACAGGUGCUAAACCGAUACUGAUGGAUGGACCCGCGGUGCAUUAGCUAGUUGGUGAGGUAACGGAUCACCAAGGCCACGAUGCAUAGCCGACCUGCGAGGGUGAUCGGCCACGCUGGGACUGAGAGACGGCCCAGACUCCUACGGGAGGCAGCCGUAGGGAAUCUUCGGCAAUGGACGAAAGUCUGACCUAGCAACGCCGCGUGAGUGAAGAAGGUUUUCGGAUCGUAAAACUCUUUUGGUAGAGAAGCGGUAUCUAACCAGAAAGCCACGGCUAACUACGUGCCAGCAGCCGCGGUAAUUC